UAGGGCGCAAGCGUUGUCCGGAAUUAUUGGGCGUAAAGAGCUCGUAGGCGGUUUGUCGCGUCUGCUGUGAAAACUCGAGGCUCAACCUCGGGCUUGCAGUGGGUACGGGCAGACUAGAGUGCGGUAGGGGUGACUGGAAUUCCCGGUGUAGCGGUGGAAUGCGUAGAGAUCGGGAAGAACAUCAGUGGCGAAGGCGGCCUGCUGGGCUGUUGCUGACGCUGAGGCGCGACAGCGUGGGGAGCAAACAGG
RNAcentral lists this ribosomal RNA (249 nucleotides) under uncultured bacterium. RNAcentral describes it as "partial 16S ribosomal RNA". It matches the Rfam family "Bacterial small subunit ribosomal RNA", at positions 528 to 776 of the family's 1533-position model. The record is from RNAcentral.